RNAcentral lists this long non-coding RNA (314 nucleotides) under Mytilus galloprovincialis (Mediterranean mussel). Lineage: Eukaryota; Metazoa; Mollusca; Bivalvia; Mytilida; Mytilidae. The record is from RNAcentral.
CUUAAAUUAAUAUGUUUCUGUCUUUGUUUAGCACUUUUAUUUGGUUUAGGGUUAUGGUUAGGGUUAUUUGCUGGCUGUUUUAUUUGGUUUAUUCACUGAGGAGCAAUUGUAGGUUUAAUUUGUGUCCCGUUUCAAACCUUUUGCCAGUUUUGUAUUUUCUCACAAAAAAGAAUAUGUGUAUUCAUAGGCACUCGUCUUAUACCUUUAUAUAAUAAAUUCUGAGACCAGUGCCUGAUCAGUGGCUGUGUGCAUGGUGUGUGUAUUCAUUAAUUAACUGAAAAAUGAAUAAAAUAGUAUAUAAACUCUAAUUAUAC